AGUAACACGUGGGUAACCUGCCUGUAAGACUGGGAUAACUCCGGGAAACCGGAGCUAAUACCGGAUAGUUCCUUGAACCGCAUGGUUCAAGGAUGAAAGACGGUUUCGGCUGUCACUUACAGAUGGACCCGCGGCGCAUUAGCUAGUUGGUGAGGUAACGGCUCACCAAGGCGACGAUGCGUAGCCGACCUGAGAGGGUGAUCGGCCACACUGGGACUGAGACACGGCCCAGACUCCGGGGGAGGGCAGCCGGUAGGGUAUUCUUCCCGCAAAUGGAAGGAAAGUUUGGAAGGAAACAAACGCCCGCUUGGAAGGGAGGAAGGUUUUUCGGAUUCGUAAAAGCUUUUGUUUGUUAGGGAAAGAACCAGGUGCCAGGAGUAACUGGCUUGCACCUUGGACGGUAACCUAACCCAGAAAGGCCACGGCCAAAUUACGUGCCCAGCAGCCGCCGGUAAUACGUAGGUGGCCAGCGUUGUCCGGGAAUUAUUGGGCGUAAAGGGGCUCGCCGGGCGGUUUCUUAAGUCUGAUGUGAAAGCCCCCCGGCUCAACCGGGGAGGGUCAUUGGAAACUGGGAAACUUGAGUGCAGAAGAGGAGAGUGGAAUUUCCACGUGUAGCGGUGAAAUGCGUAGAGAUGUGGAGGAACACCAGUGGCGAAGGCGACUCUCUGGUCUGUAACUGACGCUGAGGAGCGAAAGCGUGGGGAGCGAACAGGAUUAGAUACCCUGGUAGUCCACGCCGUAAACGAUGAGUGCUAAGUGUUAGGGGGUUUCCGCCCCUUAGUGCUGCAGCUAACGCAUUAAGCACUCCGCCUGGGGAGUACGGUCGCAAGACUGAAACUCAAAGGAAUUGACGGGGGCCCGCACAAGCGGUGGAGCAUGUGGUUUAAUUCGAAGCAACGCGAAGAACCUUACCAGGUCUUGACAUCCUCUGACAACCCUAGAGAUAGGGCUUUCCCUUCGGGGACAGAGUGACAGGUGGUGCAUGGUUGUCGUCAGCUCGUGUCGUGAGAUGUUGGGUUAAGUCCCGCAACGAGCGCAACCCUUGAUCUUAGUUGCCAGCAUUCAGUUGGGCACUCUAAGGUGACUGCCGGUGACAAACCGGAGGAAGGUGGGGAUGACGUCAAAUCAUCAUGCCCCUUAUGACCUGGGCUACACACGUGCUACAAUGGACAGAACAAAGGGCUGCGAGACCGCAAGGUUUAGCCAAUCCCACAAAUCUGUUCUCAGUUCGGAUCGCAGUCUGCAACUCGACUGCGUGAAGCUGGAAUCGCUAGUAAUCGCGGAUCAGCAUGCCGCGG
RNAcentral lists this ribosomal RNA (1298 nucleotides) under Bacillus sp. (in: firmicutes). RNAcentral describes it as "bacterial SSU rRNA". It matches the Rfam family "Bacterial small subunit ribosomal RNA", at positions 109 to 1362 of the family's 1533-position model. The record is from RNAcentral. Lineage: Bacteria; Bacillati; Bacillota; Bacilli; Caryophanales; Bacillaceae.